Long non-coding RNA from Sander lucioperca (pikeperch), 2069 nucleotides. RefSeq lists it as uncharacterized. The record is from RefSeq and is a predicted model, not a curated record. Lineage: Eukaryota; Metazoa; Chordata; Actinopteri; Perciformes; Percidae. The transcript is spliced from 3 exons.
CUCUCUCUCUGACAUUCCUGUCUGUUUGGAGUUCUGCAGAGCCGGCACCAGGAGGCUCUGUGGCCCUUACAAUGUAAACCCUAUUGGGUUUAUGCUGUUGAUCAUUAUUCACUGCUAAGACUGCUGGGCUCUGGAGCUGUGGGAGAGUGCCCACUCAGAGGAGGGGAGCACGAACACAUUGAUCUUAUUUGGACAGGCUUUUGUCUGGGGCACAUCCAAACCCAAACAGCCAAGGGAAGGACCACAACAGGGUUUUAUGGUGGAAAAAUACCCUGAAUGGUGCUGAUCCAAGCCGGAGGAUGAAGGAUGACUGCUCAUGAACUCAUGGAGGAAAACAGUAAAUAAUCAAAACAGUGCUUUAGGGUGAAACUGUGGUGACCUAGUGAGUUGCUGUGAUAGACAGGUAGACAGUUAUCUGUAUAUACUUACUGUACACUACAAACAAAAUUAGGGUUCCAGCAACCAACAGUCAAAAAAGUGUUUUUGUUUUAGCCUGAAAAAUGACUUAAACUGUUAAUAAACUAUUAAAAAAGUGGCUUAUUAAUUUUCUGUCGAUUGACUUAGCUUAGGAGACAUUGUUAUUCAAUUAGAUAGAAAGAGCCGAUAUACCAAACAGACCUAAAGACGGCAAUGUUCAUUAAAACCACACAGUACAAAAGUGAUGAACUGAACAAACACAGCGCUGAUUUUGCUAGACUUUCCAGUAGAGACGCUAAAAAAGUUAAAUCUAGGUAGAGUGGCACUAAAAGAAAGGCAAUGAGGUCAUUCAAACCCAAAUGGUUUAUCUCUGUAAAUGUGUUCAGCAAAUGUCAUGGCAAUCUGCCAAUUGCAUGAUGGGAUGACUUGGCCUAAGGACGGUGGUAGAGGAAAGCUCUUGCAACAAAAAAGGGUUCAUCCUCUGGGGGUCAUGAAUUUCCUCAGUAAAUUUCAUGGCCGUUGUCAUUUGAAUAUUAAUAUUUAUUAUGUGUGGAAAUGUUGGCCUGUUUGUGUGGCAUGAGAUGAAAGACCAAGGGGUCUCUAAAUGUAUUAGGAACCAUAUGAGGACCAUGAAUAUACAGUAGUUGAUAUAUAUUCUGUGUUGAGCAGAUGGACUGCUUCAGGGCAACACACACCAAAAAACGUUAUUAUUUAGCAGUUAAACAUUUACAUACAAACAAAUGCUCUGCAUAUUUUGUCGUGACUGUCAGACAUUCAAUCCUGUUCCAGUUGUGCUCGUGUGUGGGUUUCUUCUGUUUUAGUAAGGUGAAAUUAUUCCAUUUUCAUUUCAUUAUUCAUGUUCAAGGAUUGCUCUAGUUAAAACAAAAAAUAAAUGUGGACAUUUUCCAUGGACAAAUUGCAAAGCAACAUGCUCCUGCCUUUAUCUGCCAUCUGUUUAAAAAUUCCAAUUUUGAAUCAAAGAGCCAAGUUAAUGCUCAACUGGUUGCAUGGGGAUAACAUCAGAUAUGUAUUCCUGCAGCUUUAUGGUUUAUUGGCUGUUAUGUUUUGACUGGAUCGUUAUCUUCGGCUGCAUCAAAUAAGCAUUACCUGGAUGCUUUCAAAAUUAUUCAAAGUUAAAGGUAAUUAGUACUCCAUUCUUAUCAGCCAUUUGUUUUCAGCAUAAAAAGGAAACUAUGGGUAUUUCUCAGUCUGUUUUGCUUUGUUCUGAUUGUCCCCAAAAAUGUCACAGCAGGGGAAAAAUGGACACUUAGCAACAUUUUCACUUAAUCCCUUUAGAUGUGCCUUUAGAAAACAAAAAUAGCUAUACAAAGUCUUAUAUUUAAUUUGUGUGAUUGCUGAAAAAGUUGUAUACCUGAAGAGAGGUUUCACUCAAGAACCAAUUCAUAAAUGAGCUUAUAUGGACAAAGAACUAUCUAGCAGCUGAGUUAUGCAGUAGUCAAGUAAAGUCAAGGCAGUUGUAUUAAUAUAGCCCAAUAUCACAAGUCACAAUUCAAGGGGCUUAACAAUCUGUAUAGCAUACAACACCCUCUAUCCUUUGACCCUUGAUUCAGAUAAGGAAUUGAAAAAUACCAAACCUGAGUACAUCACUUGUUUUGUUAAAGAUUCCUGGUAAUAAACGCAUACAGUUGUCU